AGUGAACGCUGGCGGUAGGCCUAACACAUGCAAGUCGAACGGCAGCACAGUAAGAGCUUGCUCUUACGGUUGGCGAGUGGCGGACGGGUGAGGAAUACAUCGGAAUCUACUUUUUCGUGGGGGAUAACGUAGGGAAACUUACGCUAAUACCGCAUACGACCUACGGGUGAAAGCAGGGGAUCUUCGGACCUUGCGCGAUUGAAUGAGCCGAUGUCGGAUUAGCUAGUUGGCGGGGUAAAGGCCCACCAAGGCAACGAUCCGUAGCUGGUCUGAGAGGAUGAUCAGCCACACUGGAACUGAGACACGGUCCAGACUCCUACGGGAGGCAGCAGUGGGGAAUAUUGGACAAUGGGCGCAAGCCUGACCCAGCCAUACCGCGUGGGUGAAGAAGGCCUUCGGGUUGUAAAGCCCUUUUGUUGGGAAAGAAAAGCAGCAGGUUAAUACCCCGCUGUUCUGACGGUACCCAAAGAAUAAGCAACGGCUAACUUCGUG
This 492-nucleotide ribosomal RNA is filed under the name uncultured bacterium. RNAcentral's name for it is "partial 16S ribosomal RNA". It matches the Rfam family "Bacterial small subunit ribosomal RNA", at positions 29 to 507 of the family's 1533-position model. The record is from RNAcentral.